This 453-nucleotide ribosomal RNA is filed under the name uncultured soil bacterium. Its description in RNAcentral is "bacterial SSU rRNA". It matches the Rfam family "Bacterial small subunit ribosomal RNA", at positions 26 to 478 of the family's 1533-position model. The record is from RNAcentral.
AGAUUGAACGCUAGCGGGAUGCUUUACACAUGCAAGUCGAACGGCAGCGCGGACUUCGGUCUGGCGGCGAGUGGCGAACGGGUGAGUAAUAUAUCGGAACGUGCCCAGUAGCGGGGGAUAACUACGCGAAAGCGUGGCUAAUACCGCAUACGCCCUACGGGGGAAAGGGGGGAUCGCAAGACCUCUCACUAUUGGAGCGGCCGAUAUCAGAUUAGCUAGUUGGUGAGGUAAAGGCUCACCAAGGCGACGAUCUGUAGCUGGUUUGAGAGGACGACCAGCCACACUGGGACUGAGACACGGCCCAGACUCCGUACGGGAGGCAGCGAGUGGGGAAUUUGGACUAAGUGGGGGAAACCCUGAUCCAGCCAUCCCGCGUGUGCGAUAGAACGGUCCUUCGGGUUAGUAAAGUCGUACGUUUGGACGAGGAACGAAACGGUCGUUACGUAACGUUAA